CGAAUACUGAUGAUGAAGAAAAGUAGCCUGUGAGCGGUUUUCAGAGAGUCGGCGCUUGGUGUGAGCCGAUACGGUAAGCAGACGAACUCGCUUCGGAGGUGCGGGAGGGCCCAUCAUUGGGUAUCCCGACGCAGCCCGCGUUACAGGGAUUAAGCGAGCAUGGACGUCUGAUGUCUCAUGCUAAUCUGGGUGGUACCGCGGGAAUAAAACAAGUCAUCAACCUCUCGUCCCUGAC
This 235-nucleotide non-coding RNA is filed under the name Sporolactobacillus inulinus. RNAcentral describes it as "T-box sequence". It matches the Rfam family "T-box leader". Rfam says of the family: Uncharged tRNA acts as the effector for transcription antitermination of genes in the T-box leader family. T-boxes are found upstream of many aminoacyl-tRNA synthetase genes and some amino acid biosynthetic genes usually in Gram-positive bacteria. Lineage: Bacteria; Bacillati; Bacillota; Bacilli; Caryophanales; Sporolactobacillaceae. The record is from RNAcentral.